Molecule: ribosomal RNA, 443 nt
Filed under: uncultured prokaryote
Description: bacterial SSU rRNA
Rfam family: Bacterial small subunit ribosomal RNA
Source: RNAcentral
UAGGGAAUAUUGGUCAAUGGGCGGAAGCCUGAACCAGCCAUGCCGCGUGCAGGAAGACGGCCUUCUGGGUUGUAAACUGCUUUUACCAGGGAACAAAUAGGCCGUGCGUGGCAAGUUGAGUGUACCUGGGGAAUAAGCACCGGCUAACUCCGUGCCAGCAGCCGCGGUAAUACGGAGGGUGCAAGCGUCGUCCGGAUUUAUUGGGUUUAAAGGGUACGUAGGCGGAUGAUUAAGUCCGUGGUGAAAGCUCUCGGCUCAACCGGGAAACUGCCAUGGAUACUGGUUAUCUUGAGUACAGUAGAGGUGGGCGGAAUUCAUGGUGUAGCGGUGAAAUGCAUAGAUACCAUGAGGAACACCGAUAGGGAAGCCAGCUCACUGGACUGUAACUGACGCUGAGGUACGAAAGCGUGGGGAGCGAACAGGAUUAGAUACCCGUGUAGUCC